GACGAACGCUGGCGGUGUGCUUAACACAUGCAAGUCGAACGGUAAGGCCCUUUCGGGGGUACACGAGUGGCGAACGGGUGAGUAACACGUGAGUAACCUGCCCUCAUCUCUGGGAUAACAGUCGGAAACGGUUGCUAAUACUGGAUAUGAGCUUGCAAGGCAUCUUGUGGGUUGGAAAGAUUUUUUUUGGUUGGGGAUGGACUCGCGGCCUAUCAGCUUGUUGGUGAGGUAGUGGCUCACCAAGGCUUCGACGGGUAGCCGGCCUGAGGGGGCGACCGGCCACAUUGGGACUGAGAUACGGCCCAAACUCCUACGGGAGGCAGCAGUGGGGAAUAUUGCACAAUGGACGGAAGUCUGAUGCAGCAACGCCGCGUGCGGGAUGACGGCCUUCGGGUUGUAAACCGCUUUCAAUUGUGACGAAGCUUUUUUGUGACGGUAGCAGUAGAAGAAGCACCGGCUAACUACGUG
Molecule: ribosomal RNA, 468 nt
Filed under: uncultured bacterium
Lineage: Bacteria
Description: partial 16S ribosomal RNA
Rfam family: Bacterial small subunit ribosomal RNA
Source: RNAcentral